UAUUUUCCGUGAUGGAGCCUCCACCAGCCUGCCUCAUAGAAUAAGGAAGAGGUUGAGCAAAGUUUGCACUUUGUCCUUAAGAAAAUGAGGAAUCCAUGAACAGAUUUGGAACAAUCAGUCAUGGCUCUGCAUAUAAGAUGAACAAAAAUGAAGAAAGACAGGAAGAUGUUUAGUACAAGAUUAUUCUAAUAUUCAAGGGGAUGCUAAAAAAGGUCAUUGUGUGAAAUGAUGAAAUGCAUCUUCAUAAGAAAGCGCAAGAACUUGAAUUUGAGAAGAAAAAUAUAAAAGGAAAAAUAUUCUAGAAUCAGAUAUGAAAAUCACCGUGUCAGAUUAUGAAGCUGGAAUUUAUUCUUUGAAAAAUAGAAGAAAACAAGAUAAAACUAUGAAGAACGCAUUGCUGCUGCUUUAACAAUACUCAGAGAUGUUAUCACCAAAAGCCAUCAGUAACUGCCACAUGAGGCAGUCCCUACAAGGAGAGCAUUGCCUUCUGGUGUAUUGUGACAAGCUCAUCUGCAUGCAUGCACGAGUUCAUAUAGGACUGACAUUUUUGAAAGAACACCACAGCUUGAGAAAUAGAAAGAAGCUUUAGAUCAUCCAAUCCAGGUGAUUUUCACACAAAGUUUGACUGUAAAACUUUUUAGUGAAGAUGCUUUUCUACUCAGUAUACAUUUACUGAGCACAUACACAUAUGUAAAUACAGAUAUGAAUAAAAUACAGUGCUUAUCUUAGAAAUGAUUCUGUUUAAUAAAGGCAUCUUUCUCUCACUCUGUCAAACAGACAUGUAUGUGCACACACACACACAUGCAUGCACAUGCACCCCACAAUGCUCCUUGAAUUUAUAAAUAAAAGGGAGCUAUAGAAUGGGCAGAGGGGUGAGGGUUGGGGAGAUUGAGAAAAGCGUUGCAGGGGAACUGUGAGAAGGAAAGGUUUUCUAGUAACACAUAUUACUUGACCUGGUAUUGGAGGCAUGAAAAAAUAUUUCAAAGGCCGAAAUUUAAAAAGAAGUUAUUCCAGGCAUGAGAGUGGUAUGAACAAAGGCAGAAGCCUGAUAACAUAAAAAAUUAGAGAAAAUAAAUAUAGGCCACAAUUUACAGACUUAAAGGUCUACUUUAAGGACAGCGUGGGUCCAUUCUGACAGGAUAUUGAUAGUUAAAGAUGGGCUUUGGGGAGAUUGUUCUGGUAACAGGGCCCUUUGCUGGGUAAAGACAGAAUUAGAAGAGGAAAUGACAUUUGUAAUGGGAGCAUCACCCAAUUUUCUCUCUACACAACCCUGUAGUCACUCCUGGGGUGACUUUACAGAAACCAGAGGGUUCCACAGACAGGAUUUAAAAGUUCUUUUUCUUUUUUUUUGAGUCCAUCUCUCACAUUUCACAACUGAAGGAACCAUGGCUUGGAGUUCAUGAAUAACUUGAGCAAGAUCAUACAACAAUCUAUUCUUGAGAUUUUGCUUCAUAGCACUCAACUAUGGAUCGGUAGCUAUAAACUGCUUCAAGGCAUUUUCUCCUGAUUACUUCAUACCAUAGUGAUUUGCUUUUCCUGGAUAUAGUCUCAGUUUUUCUUGUAAUUACCAGUUCCUUAAGAAAAACAGAGUUCAUUAGAUUUCAUGGACAUUAGCAGACCAGCAGGUGUCUAUUACAAUGUCUAUGUAUUCUUGAUCACUAUUAUAAUUAUUGCCAUUGUUAUUAUCAUUUGAAGUGCCCAAAAUUGUGUGUUUUCAGAGUCAUGAAGUGUCUUGACAUUUAAUUUUUAAGAAUUUCAUUUAAGAGCCAAAAGUUGCAAUUGCAUAGUCUAGGAGACAUUUAGAUGUUAACAACUCCUUUUAGAAUGAAACACAUGGUAAUAACCUAUUUAUAUUGAAGAUAAAUG
Long non-coding RNA from Macaca mulatta (Rhesus monkey), 1866 nucleotides. The record is from Ensembl. NCBI's taxonomy places the organism in Eukaryota, Metazoa, Chordata, Mammalia, Primates, Cercopithecidae.